This 252-nucleotide ribosomal RNA is filed under the name uncultured bacterium. RNAcentral's name for it is "partial 16S ribosomal RNA". It matches the Rfam family "Bacterial small subunit ribosomal RNA", at positions 524 to 775 of the family's 1533-position model. The record is from RNAcentral.
UACAGAGGGUGCGAGCGUUAAUCGGAAUUACUGGGCGUAAAGCGUGCGUAGACGGUUAUUUAAGUCGGGUGUGAAAGCCCCGGGCUCAACCUGGGAAUUGCAUUCGAGACUGAAUAGCUAGGGUACGGUAGAGGGAAGCGGAAUUUCCGGUGUAGCGGUGAAAUGCGUAGAUAUCGGAAGGAACAUCAGUGGCGAAAGCGGCUUCCUGGACCAGUACCGACGUUCAGGCACGAAAGCGUGGGGAGCAAAGGG